AGUGAACGCUGGCGGUAGGCCUAACACAUGCGAGUCGAACGGCAGCACAGUAAGAGCUUGCUCUUACGGGUGGCGAGUGGCGGACGGGUGAGGAAUACAUCGGAAUCUACUUUUUCGUGGGGGAUAACGUAGGGAAACUUACGCUAAUACCGCAUACGACCUACGGGUGAAAGCAGGGGAUCUUCGGACCUUGCGCGAUUGAAUAAGCCGAUGUCGGAUUAGCUAGUUGGCGGGGUAAAGGCCCACCAAGGCGACGAUCCGUAGCUGGUCUGAGAGGAUGAUUCGCCACACUGGAACUGGGACACGGUCCAGACCUCCAAGGGAGGCAGCAGUGGGGAAUAUUGGACAAUGGGCGCAAGCCUGAUCCAGCCAUACCGCGUGGGUGAAGAAGGCCUUCGGGUUGUAAAGCCCUUUUGUUGGGAAAGAAAAGCAGCAGGUUAAUACCCCGCUGUUCUGACGGUACCCAAAGAAUAAGCACCGGCUAACUUCGUG
Molecule: ribosomal RNA, 492 nt
Filed under: uncultured bacterium
Lineage: Bacteria
Description: partial 16S ribosomal RNA
Rfam family: Bacterial small subunit ribosomal RNA
Source: RNAcentral